Molecule: ribosomal RNA, 459 nt
Filed under: uncultured bacterium
Lineage: Bacteria
Description: partial 16S ribosomal RNA
Rfam family: Bacterial small subunit ribosomal RNA
Source: RNAcentral
CCUACGGGAGGCAGCAGUGAGGAAUAUUGGUCAAUGGCCGGAAGGCUGAACCAGCCAUGCCGCGUGAAGGUCAGUGCCCUAUGGGCUUUAAACUUCUUUUGUGCGGGAGCAAUAAUGGUCACGUGUGGCCAGACGACAGUACCGUACGAAUAAGCAUCAGCUAACUCCGGGCAAGCAGCCGCGGUCAUACGGGGGGUGCAGGCGUAAUCCGGAUUUACGGGGUGUAAACGGAACGUAGGCGGUUUAGCAAGUCAGAAGUGAAAUCCCGGGGCUCAACUCCGGUACUGCCUUUGAAACUGGCAAGCUGGAGUGUGUGAGAGGGUAGUGGAAUUCCAGGUGUAGGAGUGAAAUCCGUAGAUAUCUGGAGGAACAUCAGUGGCGAAGGCGACUAUCUGGCACAUAACUGACGCUGAGGAGCGAAAGCGUGGGUAGCAAACAGGAUUAGAUACCCUAGUAGUC